Molecule: long non-coding RNA, 1631 nt
Filed under: Neodiprion pinetum (white pine sawfly)
Lineage: Eukaryota; Metazoa; Arthropoda; Insecta; Hymenoptera; Diprionidae
Description: uncharacterized LOC124219689, transcript variant X2
Source: RNAcentral
CAAUUAUUAUCAUUCAAUUUCAUGCCGAUCGCGUCGCGUAAUACGGGGUGAAGGUUGAAAAGAAAAAAAAAAAAUUACGCUUUCGUUGAGAGUUGAAUUGCCUGGAUAUUUUUUUAAGUUUAAGAUGAGAACGAUCGAUCGUAGCGACUAAGAUUUUCGAAGAAAGUUAAUCAAGCGGAAUUCCGAGAUAAAAAUUCCGGAGAAACGCACAUCCGCGGCGAUCAUGCGGAGUAAAGUUAAUGAACAAUGUGGGCACAUAAGACUGCAGUAGCGUCGACGGGGGGCAGAGGAAAAGGGGGUUCCGGGGGCGUUCCGUGGAGGGUCGCAACUCGUAUAUCAAAUCAUGGGGACGCUUCUGAAAGCCAGUCCACCAUCGAACGCGAUCAGCGUACAUAUCCCCUGAAGAAUCUUGAAGAGGAUUUAUAACAUUACGAUCCGUGCAAGAGAACGACACGAAAUCAGAAUCGUCGAAUCGAUGAAAUUGUGUAAAAAAACAAAAAAUCCUACGAUUUCGAAUUGUCAGAUAAAUUUCGCGCCUGACUAUAAUAGUCCGCUUUAAAGAUCUACAGUGAAAAGAAAAGUCUCUUCUCCCUCAGUUGAUAAAGAAGAUAGAGUACUUUUUAAUUCGACGAAAGAUAAUAAUAAUAAUAAUUCAAAUAGCCGAAAUUUGUCGCGGUAAUGAAGCUGAAUCUCGGGGGAUUUCUUAUCACAUGUCUUUUAUUGCUGGUAGUUUUUAUGACCAGCAACAUCACGACUGAAGCUCUACCCAUCGGAAAUCCGGAGGCAGCAAUUGAGAACAUGAGACAAAUACCACAAUGGCAUUGCUUGCGUUAUCGAAAAUUCGACCUGGUUCGCAGAUGCCGUCAUUAUCGCGUUGGAAGGAAACAUUGAUAACAUUCAAACUAAAUGAGAUGCCUCGGAACGUCGCCGAUCUGGACCCAUCAAAUAUCUACUCUCCAUAUCGACUUUCAUUGGCAGUUAUUGAUAAUUGAUACCCAAGAACAGCAUUUAUGCAUAUCUUACAUUAUUGUUAAUGUUAUUAUUUUUAAUACUGAUAUUAUUGUAUAUUCCUAUUCAUAACUCACUAUUUCGUUUCCCAAAUUUUUUUAUUUUUUAUUUCAUCAUCAAUUGAAAAUUCACAUUUCACAACUUAGUCAAAGACUGUUUUUAACGCGAACAUGACCGAUAUACAUACACAUAUUCUUUUUUCACCCAGUGAUUAUACGAAUUUCGAUAUGGUUAUUGUUUUAUACAUCGAAUUUUGCGUAAAGAAUCCAAGUACCUUUUUUCUUUCGUUAGAAGAGACAAAAUGUAUGAAAAAAAAUAAUAUUUACUCAAAAAAAUAGUUGAUAAUUUAUUCUUCAAGUCUGAAGAUUUAAGCAUAAUGUGUUAAUGUUUUUUACCCCGUAAUACAAGUUACAAAAAUAUUUAGUGAGUUACAUACCAAAGACAAUAUAAGUUUCAUAGGUAGAAGAAAAAAUAAAAGAAAAAAAAGUCGUAUGAAAAACAGAUAAGCCAAGCAAACCUUGUAAUGUAUGGACUAAAUGUAUGUGUUUUGAUCUCAUUCAUGUUGAUUUGUAGAAGAAUCAAAAAGUGAACGAUCUUGAAAUCAAAUAUAUUAUUUAAAAAUC